This 641-nucleotide ribosomal RNA is filed under the name Microbacterium sp. I14A-00848. RNAcentral describes it as "bacterial SSU rRNA". It matches the Rfam family "Bacterial small subunit ribosomal RNA", at positions 92 to 747 of the family's 1533-position model. Lineage: Bacteria; Bacillati; Actinomycetota; Actinomycetes; Micrococcales; Microbacteriaceae. The record is from RNAcentral.
UUAGUGGCGAACGGGUGAGUAACACGUGAGCAACCUGCCCCUGACUCUGGGAUAAGCGCUGGAAACGGCGUCUAAUACUGGAUAUGAGCUCCUGCCGCAUGGUGGGGGUUGGAAAGAUUUUUUGGUUGGGGAUGGGCUCGCGGCCUAUCAGCUUGUUGGUGAGGUAAUGGCUCACCAAGGCGUCGACGGGUAGCCGGCCUGAGAGGGUGACCGGCCACACUGGGACUGAGACACGGCCCAGACUCCUACGGGAGGCAGCAGUGGGGAAUAUUGCACAAUGGGCGGAAGCCUGAUGCAGCAACGCCGCGUGAGGGAUGACGGCCUUCGGGUUGUAAACCUCUUUUAGCAGGGAAGAAGCGAAAGUGACGGUACCUGCAGAAAAAGCACCGGCUAACUACGUGCCAGCAGCCGCGGUAAUACGUAGGGUGCAAGCGUUAUCCGGAAUUAUUGGGCGUAAAGAGCUCGUAGGCGGUCUGUCGCGUCUGCUGUGAAAUCCCGAGGCUCAACCUCGGGUCUGCAGUGGGUACGGGCAGACUAGAGUGCGGUAGGGGAGAUUGGAAUUCCUGGUGUAGCGGUGGAAUGCGCAGAUAUCAGGAGGAACACCGAUGGCGAAGGCAGAUCUCUGGGCCGUAACUGACGCU